This is a long non-coding RNA of Photinus pyralis (common eastern firefly), 675 nucleotides long. RefSeq lists it as uncharacterized. The record is from RefSeq and is a predicted model, not a curated record. Lineage: Eukaryota; Metazoa; Arthropoda; Insecta; Coleoptera; Lampyridae. The transcript has 3 exons.
UGUGCCAUGUGCUCCGCGCGUAAGACGUUAACAUAUCCAACGUGGAUGGCACAUCGAGAAGUUUUCGCCUAUUUUCUUCUUGCAAAUAGCAAGUGAAAAAGUGGAAAUAUGCUUCUACAAGUAAACCAUAAUUUUGAAAGGGAGUGAUGGACGGAUGGGGUUUGUCCAAGUCCAACGCCACUUUGGAAAGGCAGGCGUUGCUGUCCGAAAUGUACUUCACGGGAAAAGACCGGUCUCAAGCAGUACCUACCUACCUCCAUCGCUAGCUAACGACGACACUUUUCCGUUGCGAAGACCGAAGCAACUAGUCAACUCUGCAAUUCUCAACAAAGACCAACAUUCUUGGGGAUGAGUACUAUUCACCAUCACCACUUCGAAUUCGGCGCUGUCAUCAUCAUCAUUCCGGUCCAUCCAUCAUCGAGGUCUAAGGUAGCUACUAGUAGUCAAUCAAAGGGCCUAAUGGUGUUUCACUACUAGUAGCUUCAAUUGAGAACAAAAUAUACGUAUCAAGUUAUUUAUUUUUUGUUAUCACUGUUACAAGAAGAUCUUUCUAAUACAAAAAAAUCUCUAGAAUAGAAUAAUAUUGUACUGCCCUAACUGCUCUUUGCUGGCAGCUGGCAUUAGUUCAUCACACGACAUAGCCUCACCCAGCAAAAAAACAAUUAAACUGUGAAA